CAAAAAGAAAAGGAAUGAGCACCUUAUGCUGUAUGUUCCUCCUCAAAUGGGUUAUCCUGCAUCCAACUACUUCAACUGACACCGGCAAAACCCACUGGACUUGCAAUGCCUGGAGGUACCAUUUCCGUCCUGUUGAAACCCAGACCUGCCUGGAGGUCCUAGUGACCUGAACAGAAAACAGACAUGGAAUUGGAACAAAUGCCUCCUUCAGAAAAGGUGGCCCUGGACUUUGAUUUGAGCCCAGUAGUACCCGGAAGGAGAAAUCUUGAAGGCUUCUGAAUUCGGCUAUUCCAUCUCAGGACCAGCAACUUGACUCCUCAAAGCCCUCAGAAUCCCAGAGAGCAGGGAGGCACAUAUUUUUCCAAGCCCAGUAGCACAUAUUCCAACUAUCCACAUAGUCAUUUAUUCAUUCAAUAAACAUUUAUCAAACUGCUAUUUGCUGCC
This 444-nucleotide long non-coding RNA is filed under the name Rattus norvegicus (Norway rat). Its description in RNAcentral is "long non-coding RNA NONRATT025670". Lineage: Eukaryota; Metazoa; Chordata; Mammalia; Rodentia; Muridae. The record is from RNAcentral.